GACGAACGCUGGCGGCGUGCCUAAUACAUGCAAGUUGAGCGCUGAAGGUUGGUACUUGUACCAACUGGAUGAGCAGCGAACGGGUGAGUAACGCGUGGGGAAUCUGCCUUUGAGCGGGGGACAACAUUUGGAAACGAAUGCUAAUACCGCAUAAAAACUUUAAACACAAGUUUUAAGUUUGAAAGAUGCAAUUGCAUCACUCAAAGAUGAUCCCGCGUUGUAUUAGCUAGUUGGUGAGGUAAAGGCUCACCAAGGCGAUGAUACAUAGCCGACCUGAGAAGGUGAUCGGCCACAUUGGGACUGAGACACGGCCCAAACUCCUACGGGAGGCAGCAGUAGGGAAUCUUCGGCAAUGGACGAAAGUCUGACCGAGCAACGCCGCGGGAGUGAAGAAGGUUUUCGGAUCGUAAAACUCGGUUGGUAGAGAAGAACGUUGGUGAGAGUGGAAAGCUCAUCAAGUGACGGUAACUACACAGAAAGGGACGGCUAACUACGUG
Molecule: ribosomal RNA, 497 nt
Filed under: uncultured bacterium
Lineage: Bacteria
Description: partial 16S ribosomal RNA
Rfam family: Bacterial small subunit ribosomal RNA
Source: RNAcentral